RNAcentral lists this unclassified non-coding RNA (376 nucleotides) under soil metagenome. RNAcentral's name for it is "partial contains 5.8S ribosomal RNA, internal transcribed spacer 2, and large subunit ribosomal RNA". The stretch from base 1 to 120 matches the Rfam family "5.8S ribosomal RNA", at positions 35 to 154 of the family's 154-position model. The record is from RNAcentral.
GAUGAAGAACGUAGCGAAAUGCGAUAAGUAAUGUGAAUUGCAGAAUUCAGUGAAUCAUCGAAUCUUUGAACGCAUCUUGCGCUCCUUGGUAUUCUGAGGAGCAUGCCUGUUUGAGUGUCAUUAAAUUCUCAACCGCACUGACUUUGAAUUGGUGUGGCUUGGAUUUGGGGGGAAAAUUGUUGUGGGCUUUUUUGUAUAGUCUGCUCCCCUGAAAUUGAUUAGCGGUACCUUUGUGGAACUGUCUACAGGUGUGAUAAUUAUCUACAUCCUAGACAUCUGCUGGAAUGCUGCUUUCUAAACCUUACUUGUAUUGACAAUCUUGACCUCAAAUCAGGUAGGACUACCCGCUGAACUUAAGCAUAUCAAUAACGGAGGA